Molecule: ribosomal RNA, 497 nt
Filed under: uncultured bacterium
Lineage: Bacteria
Description: partial 16S ribosomal RNA
Rfam family: Bacterial small subunit ribosomal RNA
Source: RNAcentral
GAUGAACGCUGGCGGCGUGCUUAAUACAUGCGAGUCGAGCGAACAGACGAUGAGCUUGCUCCUCUGACGUUAGCGGCGGACGGGUGAGUAACACGUGUAUAACCUCCCUAUAAUACGGGUAAAAUUUGGGGAAACCGGAGAUAAUCCGGGAGAAACUAUUGAACCGUAGGGUUAAUUGGGAAAAUACGGUUUUUGUGUCUCUUCUCGAUGGUUCCGCGCUGCUUUAGCGAGUUGGUAAGGUAACGGCUUACCAAGGGAAGGAUGCGUAGGCGACCUGACAGGGUGAUCGGCCACACUGGAACUGAGACACGGUCCAGACUCCUACGGGAGGCAGCAGUAGGGAAUCUUCCGCAAUGGGCGAAAGCCUGACGGAGCAACGCCGCGUGAGUGAUGAAGGUCUUCGGAUCGUAAAACUCUGUUAUUAGGGAAGAACAAAUGUGUAAGUAACUAUGCACGUCUUGACGGUACCUAAUCAGAAAGCCAUGGCUAACUACGUG